This 67-nucleotide transfer RNA is filed under the name Marmota monax (woodchuck). Its description in RNAcentral is "tRNA.Undet". The record is from RNAcentral. Lineage: Eukaryota; Metazoa; Chordata; Mammalia; Rodentia; Sciuridae.
GGAUUGUGGCUCAGUGGUAGAGUGCUUGCUGGCAUGUGUAAGGUGCUGGGUUCAAUCCUCAGCUCCA